RNAcentral lists this ribosomal RNA (253 nucleotides) under uncultured bacterium. RNAcentral describes it as "partial 16S ribosomal RNA". It matches the Rfam family "Bacterial small subunit ribosomal RNA", at positions 524 to 776 of the family's 1533-position model. The record is from RNAcentral.
UACGGAGGGUGCAAACGUUGCUCGGAAUCACUGGGCGUAAAGCGCACGUAGGCGGUCCGAUAAGUCGGAUGUGAAAGCCCUGGGCUCAACCUAGGAAGUGCAUUCGAAACUGUCGGACUUGAGUACGGGAGAGGGUUGCGGAAUUCCCGGUGUAGAGGUGAAAUUCGUAGAUAUCAGGAGGAACACCGGUGGUGUAAACGGCUUUCUGGACCAUAACUGACGCUGAGGCACGAAAGCGUGGGUAGCAAACAGG